GUUUUCUCUGGUCCAUCAAGGGAUCUCCUUCUUCUUUGUGCUGCUUGAAGAAAACUCGAAGACCUUACGAUCUCUCUUCCGCUUCCUCGGCAAAGUAACGUUCCGGCGUUAUGUCAAUCACUGAAGAAAACCCACUAAAGCCACGAUUUCCUCUUCAUUGCAACUUUUUGGAUUGCCUCAGUUUCACUCUGUAUAUCCUUUUGUUCUCUAGCUUCUCCUCUUUACCAAAAUUACAAAAAUCAAAGAAUCUUAGCAAGCUUCUACAGUCCAAGAGAAAAAGCAGAGAAUUUUGUCAAAGAAAGGUUAACGAGUUAAAGGCUUAUGAAAACCGGAGCUAAACUCAUAGCGUGUAUUCUGAUUCUGUGGCCAUUGAUUUAUUGAUUUAAUAGGGAUGAAAUUGCUUCUGAUUCUUUGAGUGAUGAGAACCCACGUCAGGUUUUUAAAAACUGUGUAGGUUCAAAGGUUCAUUCUGCAGAUCAAAUGAUCAUAUGGAUGACUCAGCAUCGAGCACUGAAACUUCACAUGUACUCGCUCCAUCUCUCUCUUCUCUCUGGUCUCAUGGCGAUUAUGAUUCUGUUUUUAUUUAACUCCAAGGUAUUCUUACCUGAUUAAUUUGUUUACAGGAAGCAAAAUACGCUGCUGUAUAGGACUAUAAAUCUUCUUAUAAUCUUAGGCUUCUUAGUUUUUUUAGGGUUUUGGCAGAAAUUCGAAAUUAAUAUGACAAAUAUUGCAGAGAACGUGUUGAGAUUCAUAAAAAGUCGUACGAGGCAGAUGGGACUUUUGGCUCACCAGAUCAUUCUCUUAGCCAACUGCAAAAAGUUAUGGACACUACAACCGACAAUGGAACUAGGGGUCUCAAUAUAUAUAUGUGGCAGGGGGUUGGUGUCAAUGCUCAUGUGGAUAAUGAACUGCCCCAGUUUGUUGCUGACAUUGUUGGGAAGACCUUCACUUUUCAGCUCAUGCUAUGAGCGUUCAACUUCACUUCCAAGCAUCAAACCUUCACCAUCUCCCGUUCUUUUACUGAGUGUCAGCAUGCACCACUCCCAGACUUUUUGGUGAUGGAGCUCAACAUGGUCCUGAUGAUCGGAUUCCUGUCCAGAAUCCAAUAGCUUCUAAGGUCUCUGAUGGUACCAGUAGAACUGUUGUUGAGCAGACUGAUGGUGUGGCAGCAACACUUGUGAAAAUACAAAUGUCAACCAUCAAACUUCCUCAUCUGUUGUACCAGAAAGAGGGGGUUCAGCAUCUAACAAUCAGACUGUUGGCUCAAAGAAUGGAAAGAAGGCACGGUUGGAUUAGAUCCAACUAGAAAACACAAAUCACCAUUACAUUUCCUUAUGUUUAUAUGUCGUCAUUUUCGUUUGGUUAUGCACUGUAACUUAGAACUUUAUCUAUUUUUAACUAAACUCAACAUGGCGGCGGCGGUGUUUAACCUAUCAAUGAAAGUUUUUUCAGUAUA
Molecule: RNA transcript, 1456 nt
Organism: Brassica rapa (field mustard)
Lineage: Eukaryota; Viridiplantae; Streptophyta; Magnoliopsida; Brassicales; Brassicaceae
Source: RefSeq, a predicted model, not a curated record